CUCUUAGAUGUUGGGGUGGCGAACGAGCUGUACCUCCAUUUCGGAGUCCUGCUCAGAGGUGAGCGCGGGAAAUCUUUGAAAACCACCCCGUGGUUGGGAUCGGUGAUUGCAAUUAUUCACCUUGAACGAGGAAUGCCUAGUAUGGGCGCUUCAUCAGAGCGCCCCGAUUAUGUCCCUGCCAUUUGUACACACCGCCCGUCGUUGCUACCGAUCCGGUGGGGGAACAGAGGCCUUGGGAGCUGCGCGCGGGGGCGCCUUCCGGCGCGCCCGUGUCGUGGCGAACCCGAUGUUCAACUGCUAGAGGAAGCAAAAGUCGUAACA
RNAcentral lists this ribosomal RNA (321 nucleotides) under uncultured eukaryote. RNAcentral describes it as "partial 18S ribosomal RNA". It matches the Rfam family "Eukaryotic small subunit ribosomal RNA", at positions 1493 to 1796 of the family's 1831-position model. The record is from RNAcentral.